CCGACUAUUUGCAAAUUGAUCCUAAUGCUGUCGAAACAUAACUUUCUUAAAUGAACCAGCUAAUUAUUAUUAUUAUUAUUAUUAUUAUUAUUAUUAUUAUUAUUAGCUUUGUAAAAGUCACUGAAAACUUGAAGCUAAGGAUGAGACGAGAGAAUGAACCCAAUACAGAUGCAGAAACACUUUGUCCAGCUUGAUUUCCGGUGGGCGCGCGGACAGGCACGCGGAGCUCUAUUUGAGCGCGCAUAACGGAAGCACCACUGACAGCUCAGAGGCACGAGCUGCGUCCUAAACGCAUAACACAGUCAUGAGUUCAUGUGACCCGUCUGGUGUUAAAUUGGGCCUGAGGCAAAAAAGCAAAAAACGGACCAUACAAUGUUACCAAACACCUGACAAGAUUUCCCAUAGUGGACGGCGCUACAAAGCCACCGAGAAGACGACGCAAAACUCAAAUACAAGGUCAAAGACAUCCCUGACGACUUCUGUGUACAAAACGUUCGUAUCUGCAGCUAUCCCAGAUGGGUUCAAUGGCAUUUGAAACUUGAUGCGACCAAGGCUUCUGAAGGAGUUCGUGACCUGAAAGAGGAGACGAAAUCAUGGCCAUGUUUUAGACAGGAUCAUUCCGCAGCACACAUCGAGAGCUCAGGGCUCCUGCUUGAAGCCUGACCUUGGCUGCAGCAUGAUUGCUGAUAGCAGAUCUAAGAUAUGUAGACUUGUGUUAUUGUUGACAUUCCGGCAGCAGACUGAACAGUAUAUGUUUUACUCUGAAAACGAGCACGUUUUUGAAAAGUCGACACUCGCACAUGUGGCUUAAUUUCGGUUUUUUUUCCUUUAAACGGUUCGAGUCAGAGAACGUUUUCAGUCAAUAGCGAGAUAAAAGACUGUAAUAUGUGACUCUGUUACUCGAAUCUUAAUAGAGCUGCCUCAGAGUCAUGUGUGCAUUUUGAAUCUUGGACUAUAUCUCAAGAGCUGCCUCAGAGUCAUAUGUUUAAUUUAAAAUCAAUCUUUUAUAUGACUUAAAAACUGCUUCACAGUCAUUUGUUCAUUUUUUAUAUGACUCAAAAGCUGCCUCCGAGUCAUUUGUUAAUUUUGAGCAAAUAUUUUAUGUGACUCGAGAGCUGUCUCGAAGAUUGCUUUAUUCAUUUUCAAUAAAUCUGUAAUAUGGCUUGAGAGCUGCCUCUGAGUCAUUUGUUGAUUCUGAAUUAAUCUGUAAUAUGACUCAAAAGCUGCCUCAGUGUAAUUAGUUAUUUUUGAAUAAAUUCUUUAUAUGACUCAAGAGCUGCCUUACUGUCUAAUUUAAAUCAGUCUUUUAUAUGACUUGAAAUCUGCCUCAGUUAUUUGUGCAUUUUGAAUUAAUCUUUUCUAUGACUCAAGAACUGCCUCAGAGGGUGAUUUGUUCAUUUUGAAGGAGUCGUUUAUGAUUCGAGAGCUGCCAGAGUCAUUUUGUCCAUUGCGAAUCAAUCUUUUAUGUGAUUCG
Molecule: long non-coding RNA, 1474 nt
Organism: Silurus meridionalis
Lineage: Eukaryota; Metazoa; Chordata; Actinopteri; Siluriformes; Siluridae
Exons: 5
Source: RefSeq, a predicted model, not a curated record